UAUAGAGAGGUGCCACUAAGACAGGUCAGACUGUAGAACCUUUACCCUUGUAUGAACCCUGAUGAAAUGUCCAGCUUUCUCAUUCCUACGUUCCUAGAUAAGAGGCACCACUGCUAACACACUCUAUGAGACGUUGAAGGUCUAUGAUGACCUCGUGGAUGAGGAGAAGCAGAAGGAGGUCAUGACGAUACUCAUGGAAACAAACUGGCAAGAAUCGCAGGCCAAAUGUAGACCAGUCAGGAACCACAUCUGUGACUUGAUGGAAGUGCCCCAGCCUGUUCUCAAGAACCCCCAGGCUGGUAAAGCUAAGAAGCAAGAGGAUGCCAAUGACCAGAUGGACAGUUAUCAAGAUCUCGUGUCAAGAUUGGGAUACUGAGGAGCAGUCUUCUGAUGCCC
Molecule: long non-coding RNA, 396 nt
Organism: Strongylocentrotus purpuratus (purple sea urchin)
Lineage: Eukaryota; Metazoa; Echinodermata; Echinoidea; Camarodonta; Strongylocentrotidae
Exons: 4
Source: RefSeq, a predicted model, not a curated record